Molecule: ribosomal RNA, 569 nt
Filed under: Staphylococcus aureus
Lineage: Bacteria; Bacillati; Bacillota; Bacilli; Caryophanales; Staphylococcaceae
Description: bacterial SSU rRNA
Rfam family: Bacterial small subunit ribosomal RNA
Source: RNAcentral
GACGGUCUUGCUGUCACUUAUAGAUGGAUCCGCGCUGCAUUAGCUAGUUGGUAAGGUAACGGCUUACCAAGGCAACGAUGCAUAGCCGACCUGAGAGGGUGAUCGGCCACACUGGAACUGAGACACGGUCCAGACUCCUACGGGAGGCAGCAGUAGGGAAUCUUCCGCAAUGGGCGAAAGCCUGACGGAGCAACGCCGCGUGAGUGAUGAAGGUCUUCGGAUCGUAAAACUCUGUUAUUAGGGAAGAACAUAUGUGUAAGUAACUGUGCACAUCUUGACGGUACCUAAUCAGAAAGCCACGGCUAACUACGUGCCAGCAGCCGCGGUAAUACGUAGGUGGCAAGCGUUAUCCGGAAUUAUUGGGCGUAAAGCGCGCGUAGGCGGUUUUUUAAGUCUGAUGUGAAAGCCCACGGCUCAACCGUGGAGGGUCAUUGGAAACUGGAAAACUUGAGUGCAGAAGAGGAAAGUGGAAUUCCAUGUGUAGCGGUGAAAUGCGCAGAGAUAUGGAGGAACACCAGUGGCGAAGGCGACUUUCUGGUCUGUAACUGACGCUGAUGUGCGAAAGCGUG